GCCUGGGUGGCUCAGUCGGUUGAGCGUCUGACUUCCGCUCAGGUCACGAUCUCGCGGUCCGUGAGUUUGAGCCCCGCGUCGGGCU
Molecule: transfer RNA, 85 nt
Filed under: Felis catus (domestic cat)
Lineage: Eukaryota; Metazoa; Chordata; Mammalia; Carnivora; Felidae
Rfam family: tRNA
About the family: Transfer RNA (tRNA) molecules are approximately 80 nucleotides in length. Their secondary structure includes four short double-helical elements and three loops (D, anti-codon, and T loops).
Source: Rfam by way of RNAcentral